GAUGAACGCUGGCGGCGUGCCUAAUACAUGCAAGUCGAGCGAACAGACGAGGAGCUUGCUCCUCUGACGUUAGCGGCGGACGGGUGAGUAACACGUGGAUAACCUACCUAUAAGACUGGGAUAACUUCGGGAAACCGGAGCUAAUACCGGAUAAUAUAUUGAACCGCAUGGUUCAAUAGUGAAAGACGGUUUUGCUGUCACUUAUAGAUGGAUCCGCGCCGCAUUAGCUAGUUGGUAAGGUAACGGCUUACCAAGGCAACGAUGCGUAGCCGACCCGAGAGGGUGAUCGGCCACACUGGAACUGAGACACGGUCCAGACUCCUACGGGAGGCAGCAGUAGGGAAUCUUCCGCAAUGGGCGAAAGCCUGACGGAGCAACGCCGCGUGAGUGAUGAAGGUCUUCGGAUCGUAAAACUCUGUUAUUAGGGAAGAACAAAUGUGUAAGUAACUAUGCACGUCUUGACGGUACCUAAUCAGAAAGCCACGGCUAACUACG
RNAcentral lists this ribosomal RNA (495 nucleotides) under uncultured bacterium. Its description in RNAcentral is "partial 16S ribosomal RNA". It matches the Rfam family "Bacterial small subunit ribosomal RNA", at positions 28 to 505 of the family's 1533-position model. The record is from RNAcentral.